AACCUCCGCAAUGUACGAAAGUGCGACGGGGGGAUCCCAAGUGUUAUGCUUUUUUGUAUAACUUUUCAUUAGUGUAAAAAGCUUUUAGAAUAAGAGCUGGGCAAGACCGGUGCCAGCCGCCGCGGUAACACCGGCAGCUCGAGUGGUAGCUGUUUUUAUUGGGCCUAAAGCGUUCGUAGCCGGUUUGAUAAGUCUUUGGUGAAAGCUUGUAGCUUAACUAUAAGAAUUGCUGGAGAUACUAUCAGACUUGAAGUCGGGAGAGGUUAGAGGUACUACCGGGGUAGGGGUGAAAUCCUAUAAUCCUGGGAGGACCACCUGUGGCGAAGGCGUCUAACUGGAACGAUCUUGACGGUGAGUAACGAAAGCCAGGGGCGCGAACCGGAUUAGAUACCCGGGUAGUCCUGGCCGUAAACGAUGUGGACUUGGUGUUGGAAUGGCUUUGAGUUGUUCCGGUGCCGAAGGGAAGCUGUUAAGUCCACCGCCUGGGAAGUACGGUCGCAAGAUUGAAACUUAAAGGAAUU
RNAcentral lists this ribosomal RNA (521 nucleotides) under uncultured bacterium. Its description in RNAcentral is "bacterial SSU rRNA". It matches the Rfam family "Archaeal small subunit ribosomal RNA", at positions 345 to 866 of the family's 1478-position model. The record is from RNAcentral.